Molecule: long non-coding RNA, 1000 nt
Organism: Oncorhynchus keta (chum salmon)
Lineage: Eukaryota; Metazoa; Chordata; Actinopteri; Salmoniformes; Salmonidae
Exons: 3
Source: RefSeq, a predicted model, not a curated record
UCCUCUGCUACAUCAUCAUCAUGUCCUCACCCAACCCAGGUACACACCUCCUCUGCUACAUCAUCAUGUCCUCACCAGGUAAAUAAUAAUAAUAUAUGCCAUUUAGCAGACGCUUUUAUCCAAAGCGACUUACAGUCAUGUGUGCAUACAUUCUACGUAUGGGUGGUCCCGGGAAUCGAACCCACUACCCUGGCGUUACAAGCGCCAUGCUCUACCAACUGAGCUACAGAACCACCAGGUCAUCUCAUUUCCACAAACCCAAAUGACCCUCCUCUUCCUCCACCCCAUGUAAAAGUGAUCCAUCCUGCCUGUGUUCAUGUGCUGCUAUAAAGGGUUUUGACUUUGUUUUCUCCCUCUACGGUAUAAACAGGUGCUGUGUUUUCUCCCUCUACGGUAUAAAACAGGUGCUGUGUUUUCUCCCUCUACGGUAUAAAACAGGUGCUGUGUUUUCUCCCUCUACGGUAUAAAACAGGUGCUGUGUUUUCUCCCUCUACGGUAUAAAACAGGUGCUGUGUUUUCUCCCUCUACGGUAUAAAACAGGUGCUGUGUUUUCUCCCUCUACGGUAUAAAACAGGUGCUGUGUUUUCUCCCUCUACGGUAUAAAACAGGUGCUGUGUUUUCUCCCUCUACGGUAUAAAACAGGUGCUGUGUUUUCUCCCUCUACGGUAUAAAACAGGUGCUGUGUUUUCUCCCUCUACGGUAUAAAACAGGUGCUGUGUUUUCUCCCUCUACGGUAUAAAACAGGUGCUGUGUUUUCUCCCUCUACGGUAUAAAACAGGUGCUGUGUUUUCUCCCUCUACGGUAUAAAACAGGUGCUGUGUUUUCUCCCUCUACGGUAUAAAACAGGUGCUGUGUUUUCUCCCUCUACGGUAUAAAACAGGUGCUGUGUUUUCCUGUGUUUGUUUGAACUUUUGGCAAGUAUUUUUUCAGGUUAUUAUAGUAGAACUGAUGUAGGUAGCUGUUGAUUGGGUGCUAGUGAGAGUGGUUAAGAUUGGUUGUG